This 109-nucleotide non-coding RNA is filed under the name Pectobacterium atrosepticum. Lineage: Bacteria; Pseudomonadati; Pseudomonadota; Gammaproteobacteria; Enterobacterales; Pectobacteriaceae. The record is from RNAcentral.
GAACAAAUUUGGUGACUGUUUCCCGUGAAGAUCCAGUUACCGCGGUUCAAAAUGUUUUAUCGACAUUGUGAACCUUCGAAAAAACCACCUUGCCGGGUGGUUUUUUCGU